GACGAACGCUGGCGGCGCGCCUAACACAUGCAAGUCGAACGGAGUCAAGAGGAGCUUGCUUUUCUUGACUUAGUGGCGAACGGGUGAGUAACGCGUGAGUAACCUGCCCUGGAGUGGGGGACAACAGUUGGAAACGACUGCUAAUACCGCAUAAGCCCACGGAUCCGCAUGGAUCUGCGGGAAAAGGAUUUAUUCGCUUCAGGAUGGACUCGCGUCCAAUUAGCUAGUUGGUGAGGUAACGGCCCACCAAGGCGACGAUUGGUAGCCGGACUGAGAGGUUGAACGGCCACAUUGGGACUGAGACACGGCCCAGACUCCUACGGGAGGCAGCAGUGGGGGAUAUUGCACAAUGGGGGAAACCCUGAUGCAGCGACGCCGCGUGGAGGAAGAAGGUUUUCGGAUUGUAAACUCCUGUCGUUAGGGACGAUAAUGACGGUACCUAACAAGAAAGCACCGGCUAACCACGUG
RNAcentral lists this ribosomal RNA (468 nucleotides) under uncultured bacterium. RNAcentral's name for it is "partial 16S ribosomal RNA". It matches the Rfam family "Bacterial small subunit ribosomal RNA", at positions 28 to 507 of the family's 1533-position model. The record is from RNAcentral.